This 70-nucleotide ribosomal RNA is filed under the name Aulactinia verrucosa. Its description in RNAcentral is "partial 28S ribosomal RNA". It matches the Rfam family "Eukaryotic large subunit ribosomal RNA", at positions 1 to 71 of the family's 3401-position model. Lineage: Eukaryota; Metazoa; Cnidaria; Anthozoa; Actiniaria; Actiniidae. The record is from RNAcentral.
GACCUCAGAUCAGGCGAGAUUACCCGCUGAAUUUAAGCAUAUUAAUAAGCGGAGGAAAAGAAACUAACAA